This 586-nucleotide ribosomal RNA is filed under the name uncultured bacterium. RNAcentral describes it as "partial 16S ribosomal RNA". It matches the Rfam family "Bacterial small subunit ribosomal RNA", at positions 355 to 1375 of the family's 1533-position model. The record is from RNAcentral.
UGGGGAAUUUUGGACAAUUGGGCGAAAGCCUGAUCCAGCAAUGCCGCGUGUGUGAAGAAGGCCUUCGGGUUGUAAAGCACUUUUGUCCGGAAAGAAAUCCUUGGCUCUAAUACAGUCGGGGGAUGACGGUACCGGAAGAAUAAGCACCGGCUAACUACGUGCCAGCAGCCGCGGUAAUACGUAGGGUGCAAGCGUUAAUCGGAAUUACUGGGCGUAAAGCGUGCGCAGGCGGUUUGCUAAGACCGAUGUGAAAUCCCCGGGCUCAACCUGGGAACUGCAUUGGUGACUGGCAGGCUAGAGUAUGGCAGAGGGGGGUAGAAUUCCACGUGUAGCAGUGAAAUGCGUAGAGAUGUGGAGGAAUACCGAUGGCGAAGGCAGCCCCCUGGGCAAUACUGACGCUCAUGCACGAAAGCGUGGGGAGCAAACAGGAUUAGAUACCCUGGUAGUCCACGCCCUAAAACGAUGUCAACUAGUUGUUGGGGAUUCAUUUCCUUAGUAACGUAGCUAACGCGUGAAGUUGACCGCCUGGGGAGUACGGUCGCAAGAUUAAAACUCAAAUGAAUUGACGGGGUCAUAGCUGUUUCCU